UACCUUGACCAUUUUUGUAUCACAGACCUGCCUUUGUACUCGCUAUUGUACUCUUUCUAUAUUAAGGAGGCAAGUAGACAAGCAGGAUUUAUGGGACAUCAAACGUCCACAGCUCUAAACUUCAACAAUCAUGCGACAAGUGACGGGGCGUGAAAUACAUUUCAAGAGAGACAAUAAAGAGCUGCAGCUGUUGUCUGUGGUAAGGUAAGACAGGGCCAAGGUCACAGCUGUGAGAUCUCUUUCAUUAUCACUCACCACUGGUAACAGUAAGAUCUACACGCCCAGUGCAACACUGGACACGUAGAACUUUUUCCUUUUCUUUAGCAAGUGUUCAGUCUCCACAUUCAAGCUGAAGUUCAUGUUACACAAAUACAUGUUACCAGGGCACACUUUGAACUGAACAAGUGUUAUAUUGGUUGUAAAUCAAACUGAUGAAAUUUUCAGAUUUCAUUAAAUUAGAAACAAAUAAAGGGUAAGAGAGGUUUUUAUCCUUGAUGGAGGUAAAACAUUUGACAAAUCAAUAAAUGGUAAAGGCAAAUAAGUAAACAAAGGAAUUACGUGACUGAAAUUAAUGUCACCACAGCUCCUGCAUUUCACUGCACCGGGAAAACAACAUUCUCUUACUUAGUGCCACAAGCAAAUGCUACUAUAGUAACAAGGGUUUUGUCCAUUGUGAUGGUUUGAUCUCACUUGGCCCUUUAUUUAUAACCUCUAUUUGCACCCUCUUAUCCUUCUAUGGUGCCCGGACUUAAACGUUUGCGCCACCUACUGCCUGACUAGAUGAACUAACCAAUCAAACAAGUGGGUGGUUUCUUUUACAGAACUUUUGAAAUCUUUAUAUUUCAAUUUCAUACUGUGUGACCACCAAUAAUUAAUGACUAAUUAAUGACAUUUGGCCACAAUCCUAUUUGCCAAGGUAACCUACAUACAGAUCAAAGGAAGGUGAGGGUGGCGUUUGUCUAGGCAGAAAACCUGCUGUGUGGCUAGUGGGAACACAAAAUGUGAAAAUGGGUUUUUAACUAUGAAUCCAGAAAAAUUCAUCGGAUUGCCCUAAAAACUUCGUCCGAUGGCAAAUUUUGCAAGUCGUGGUGUGCACACCAAAUUGGGUGAGUUUUUGUGCAGGGUGCAAAGUGCACUCAAAACGUAAAUGAAAGACAAAUAAUUUGAUUGGAUACAAUAGGGCCUUUGCAACUGUUGGUGCUCAACCCUUAAAUGAAGAGUAUGCAACGUAUUGUUCAAGGCUUGGUGUGCGAAAAAAAGUCUUACUAGACCUAUGAGAUAACAAAGAUAGACAAGGAUUAAAGGGUCCCAAAGGGUUGCGGGGCUUUAGCGCCACCUGCUGUUAAACAUAAGAAAAACCCAGAGACGCUUAACUUUUCGAUGAUACAUAUGAUCGUCAGAGCAUCAUGGAUGAUUUAGUUGCAAAAAGCCUAACACUGCAUGACUGCAGUGGGAACAUUCUGUGCCAUAUGACAAAGAAAAGUCCAAAUACACAUAGGAGUAAUUUUGUCCAUUAAGCUUUGGCGUUGAAAAAAAAAAACAAUAAAACUUCUAUGGGCCAUCCCCGCAAAAAAAACCGUGAUGCCAACAAAUAGCUUAAUUUCUUCAUAGAUUAUGGUCAUGUAUGUAUAAUUAUUGCAUAAAAUGAAGAAAAGUAAAGUCCUAAAUCACAGUUCUGUUUCUGCAUGAUCCCCUACAUACAUGUUCAAUGAUUGUGCUCUGAAACAAUGUCAAAGUGCUGUGACCUGUACUUCACACUUCUGUUCGAAAGAUGGCUGCUGCAAGUGCCCUUGGCCUGGUGCUGUGCUGUGACCUGUACUUCACACUUCCGUUCGAAAGAUGGCUGCUGCAAGUGCCCUUGGCCUGAUCCAGUUGACAUGGCAUUGUUUUCUUCUAUGUAUCCUUGAGGACAAAGAUAACUUGUGAAAUUCCUGCUGGCGGUCUUUGGGUACCUUUCGGGACAGCUUGUGACGCUGGUGGUCGGGGAAGAUUUUUGUUUUUCCGUUGACCAGUGGCAACAGGUGAUAAGCCUGUUAGACCCCACUUGUGUACUCUAUAUAUAUUGUGUACGCUAAAUUAGUCUAUAGAAACAAUUCGCUAGUCUAUAGUACAAUUUGCGAACUAGCAGCUCAAAUGUCAGUGACUGUGAAGGAAAUUAGUCAUGUAAUAGUGUUAUUACUUUCCUGGCCUGUUUGAGGAUUUAAGCCCAGGUAAAGUGAAACAAAUUGGUACUCAUUAAAUUAUACAAAGCUCAUUAGCCACUUGGGCAACCAGCAACACUACAACUCUCAUCUUCUUUACUUAUCCCUCAGUCUAUUCCAGGCUCCGUUGUCCAUUCCCAGCUGUCUACAGUCCUUGUGUCUUUGACUUUUACAAUCCCUCCAAUCCAUAAGGGAAGGUGUGAGGCACCUUGCCUCACUUAAGUUUGAAACUGGAGCCAACAAAGCUAUUGUUACUAUGUGUUAUUUGUUGUCGUGAAAGGUCACUUCUAAGGGGGUGUUGUGUUUCAGCACAGGCUUACUGAAGUUGAUUGGUCUCUUGCCUUGUCUUCUCUCCAUUCAUUCAGACUAUGGACUUCUGCGCGGACACUUGUCUCCUGAUGAGGCAAAGAUCAGGACAUGGCAAAGUGUUAGAAUGGUGUCUUGAAGGACUGCACCUCAAAGUGCACCUAAGUCCAGAUUCUCUGUUGUCUUCAUUCUGUCUCAAAUGGCCCUCCCUCACCUGGCACUGAGAGGAGCAUGCAUAUUGCUGCAGAAAGAAAGACCACACUGCUGAUUUGAAGAGGAUCCUGUUGGGGAAACCUUUCCUGCAGAUCCUGAUGCCCUCCAGCACACCGUUACAGCGCAGCUGGUGCAUCACCAGGGGAUUCUCCAUGGCCCCAGGAGUCUUUGUCUCAUUGGGAAUGAUGCAGCGCACAAAAUGAGGCUGUCUCAAUCCCUGUGGAAACCUCCGUCUGUGCCGUGCGUUGCCCCCCUCCCUGACUUUCAUCUCCUUUUCUUUGAGUCACAGCCAUGCAGACAUACCCCAAAGAUCAAACUUUUGAAGGACACACCAUGUGAGAUCAAAGUCAGUGUUGGGUCCUGCACACAUGUCAAGCUGAGAUACAUACAACCUUCACUUUGCUUCUUCUGACGGUGUGAGAGGGUGCGAAUCACUCCCUCCUUGUUCUGGUGCAGGUGAACGAGUUACUUUGGGAACAAAAUGGGAACUACAGCGCAGGAGUUUUCCAAAAGCUCCAGUCGUUGGUGGUCUGUGUGUUUCACUCCUCAUCGAGUCCUUUCUGUGAAGAACGACAAGAGAGUGGACAAGGAGACGGGAUUAUUAGAGACAGAAGACUAACAUAAUAAGUGUUACAAAAAGGUGUGACGCUACAUUUAGAAACAUGAAAGAUUCAGGGUGCUGUAGUUUUUGGCUUCAAAAGCAAUCAUAGGUCUCAAACUCUUGGCCAUUUUGGUGUUUGAGGAUUUUUUUGUGAACUAUUUUGUUUGUAUUAAAACAAACAUCUUUACUUUGAAAUUAUGUGGAACUAUUGUGACAAAUUAACCCCUGCAGUAAAACCUGUGUUGAAUGUAAAAAAUCUGUAGCAUGGACUGUAUUUGGAGAAAUCACAUAA
Solea solea (common sole) is the source of this 3613-nucleotide long non-coding RNA. RefSeq lists it as uncharacterized. The transcript is spliced from 6 exons. NCBI's taxonomy places the organism in Eukaryota, Metazoa, Chordata, Actinopteri, Pleuronectiformes, Soleidae. The record is from RefSeq and is a predicted model, not a curated record.